Molecule: ribosomal RNA, 346 nt
Filed under: Staphylococcus aureus
Lineage: Bacteria; Bacillati; Bacillota; Bacilli; Caryophanales; Staphylococcaceae
Description: partial 23S ribosomal RNA
Rfam family: Bacterial large subunit ribosomal RNA
Source: RNAcentral
AGUAAGGCUGAGUAUUAGGCAAAUCCGGUACUCAUUAAGGCUGAGCUGUGAUGGGGAGAAGACAUUGUGUCUUCGAGUCGUUGAUUUCACACUGCCGAGAAAAGCCUCUAGAUAGAAAAUAGGUGCCCGUACCGCAAACCGACACAGGUAGUCAAGAUGAGAAUUCUAAGGUGAGCGAGCGAACUCUCGUUAAGGAACUCGGCAAAAUGACCCCGUAACUUCGGGAGAAGGGGUGCUCUUUAGGGUUAACGCCCAGAAGAGCCGCAGUGAAUAGGCCCAAGCGACUGUUUAUCAAAAACACAGGUCUCUGCUAAACCGUAAGGUGAUGUAUAGGGGCUGACGCCUG